UACGGAGGGUGCGAGCGUUGUCCGGAAUCACUGGGCGUAAAGGGCGCGUAGGUGGCGCGACAAGUCAACGGUGAAAGCUCGGCGCUCAACGCCGAGUCGGCCGUCGAUACUGUUGGGCUGGAGCACUGUAGAGGCAGAUGGAAUUCCGGGUGUAGCGGUGGAAUGCGUAGAGAUCCGGAAGAACACCGGUGGCGAAGGCGGUCUGCUGGGCAGUAGCUGACACUGAGGCGCGACAGCGUGGGGAGCAAACAGG
RNAcentral lists this ribosomal RNA (253 nucleotides) under uncultured bacterium. RNAcentral's name for it is "partial 16S ribosomal RNA". It matches the Rfam family "Bacterial small subunit ribosomal RNA", at positions 524 to 776 of the family's 1533-position model. The record is from RNAcentral.